Molecule: ribosomal RNA, 489 nt
Filed under: Tetracladium ellipsoideum
Lineage: Eukaryota; Fungi; Ascomycota; Leotiomycetes; Helotiales
Description: eukaryotic LSU rRNA
Rfam family: 5.8S ribosomal RNA (bases 129-282)
Source: RNAcentral
ACCCUUUGUAUACCUUACCUCUUGCUGCUCCGGUGGGCUUCUACCGGCCUCGGCUGGGAAGCGCCCGCCGGACAGCAUAAACCCAAACCCAUUUAUAGUGUCGUCUGAGAAAAAAGUUUAAUAUUUAAAACUUUCAACAACGGAUCUCUUGGCUCUGGCAUCGAUGAAGAACGCAGCGAAAUGCGAUAAGUAAUGUGAAUUGCAGAAUUCAGUGAAUCAUCGAAUCUUUGAACGCACAUUGCGCCCCUUGGUAUUCCGAGGGGCAUGCCUAUUCGAGCGUCAUUAUCACCCCUCAAGCUCCGGCUUGGUGUUGAGGCCUGCUGUAAAGGCAUCCUCUAAAAUCAGUGGCAGUGCCGUCAGGCUCUAAGCGUAGUAAUUUCAUCGCUAUAGAUCCGAGCGGACCCUCGCCAGAACCCCCCCAUUUUUUUAAUGAUUGACCUCGGAUUAGGUAGGGAUACCCGCUGAACUUAAGCAUAUCAAUAAGCGGAG